UUCAAGAUGAAUAGGCAGAGCAGGGUGCAAUUUGUGAUAAAAGCAGAGGGCGAGAUGUUUUUUGAUCAUGCACAACAAAACUAAAC
This is a long non-coding RNA of Etheostoma cragini (Arkansas darter), 86 nucleotides long. RefSeq lists it as uncharacterized. The record is from RefSeq and is a predicted model, not a curated record. The transcript has 3 exons. Lineage: Eukaryota; Metazoa; Chordata; Actinopteri; Perciformes; Percidae.